RNAcentral lists this ribosomal RNA (406 nucleotides) under Blastocystis sp. RNAcentral describes it as "SSU rRNA". It matches the Rfam family "Eukaryotic small subunit ribosomal RNA", at positions 573 to 989 of the family's 1831-position model. Lineage: Eukaryota; Bigyra; Opalinata; Blastocystidae. The record is from RNAcentral.
GCCGCGGUAAUUCCAGCUCCAAUAGCGUAUAUUAACGUUGUUGCAGUUAAAAAGCUCGUAGUUGAAGUGUGGGUGAUCGCUGUUGUGAGACUUCGGUCUCUCGACAGUAAGUCACCCCCUUCCAGUAUCCAGUAGUGGGUAUUCACUUACUUACUACUGUGUGUUGGUCGUUUACUGUGAGAAAAUUAGAGUGUUCAAAGCAGGCGUUUGCUUGAAUAGAUUAGCAUGGAAUAAUAAUUGAAGGCUUUCGUGUUCGAUUUGAUUGGUUUGUUCAUGGAAGCAAGGUUAAAAGGAACAGUUGGGGGUAUUCAUAUUCACUAGUUAGAGGUGAAAUUCUCGGAUUUAUGGAAGAUGAACAAGUGCGAAAGCAUUUACCAAGGAUGUUUUCAUUAAUCAAGAGCGAAAG